GACGAACGCUGGCGGCGUGCUUAACACAUGCAAGUCGAACGGAAAGGCCCUGCUUUUGUGGGGUGCUCGAGUGGCGAAAGGGUGAGUAACACGUGAGUAACCUGCCCUUGACUUUGGGAUAACUUCAGGAAACUGGGGCUAAUACCGGAUAGGAGCUCCUGCUGCAUGGUGGGGGUUGGAAAGUUUCGGCGGUUGGGGAUGGACUCGCGGCUUAUCAGCUUGUUGGUGGGGUAGUGGCUUACCAAGGCUUUGACGGGUAGCCGGCCGGAGAGGGUGACCGGCCACAUUGGGACUGAGAUACGGCCCAGACUCCUACGGGAGGCCACAGUGGGGAAUAUUGCACAAUGGGCGGACGCCUGAUGCAGCAGCGCCGCGUGCGGGAUGACGGCCUUCGGGUUGUAAACCGCUUUCGCCUGUGACGAAGCGUGAGUGACGGUAAUGGGUAAAGAAGCACCGGCUAACUACGUG
RNAcentral lists this ribosomal RNA (468 nucleotides) under uncultured bacterium. Its description in RNAcentral is "partial 16S ribosomal RNA". It matches the Rfam family "Bacterial small subunit ribosomal RNA", at positions 28 to 507 of the family's 1533-position model. The record is from RNAcentral.